RNAcentral lists this long non-coding RNA (657 nucleotides) under Dermacentor andersoni. RNAcentral describes it as "uncharacterized LOC126548521". Lineage: Eukaryota; Metazoa; Arthropoda; Arachnida; Ixodida; Ixodidae. The record is from RNAcentral.
CAGGGCCCCAGUCAGAGCAAUGGCGUUGGCCACCAAGUGGAGGUGCAGGCAAGGGGCAGAAUUCACCUACAAGAGGAGGCUUGAAGCCCAGUGGGCGAACCUCGAAGCGUGCAAUACGCCCUGAAUUGUCAACAGCAUGUGGGACUGAGAAGUUGACAGGAACAUGGCCAGACAGUGUGCGCUCCAGGACAAGGGGAUGCGAAGGGCAGUUGAUGAAUGUUGGUGGUUCUCUAUCUGCAAGUACACACAACCAAGUCAGGUCUUGUGGUUUUCAUACUAUUACAUAAGUUGUAAUACAUAUUUGUGUAGGUAAGUGAGCUUAUGGCCUUUUUAUUUCACUGUAUAGUGAAACAGUUCGAUAGCAAAAUAUCUUAGCAGUAUGUUCAGUCAGAGUUUGUCUUACUGAAGCAGUCGCUAGUUGUGAAGUCUGAAGCAGGUGAGUGAAGCAGAUGGAACAAGAUUGAUUAACACUACCUAGAAAUGUUUACUGAAGUCUAUAAAGUGCGAGAUGAAGUGAUUAUUUUUCAUUUUACACCCACUACAAAGUGGCUGUUGCUCCCUGCAUUCGAAUAUGUGCUGAAUCACUCGUACAGGAUGAUAGCCACUGUUUCAUUAUGUAUCACUCGGCAGCCACAAUAAAGCACAGUUCCCUACUGA